This 301-nucleotide ribosomal RNA is filed under the name uncultured bacterium. RNAcentral's name for it is "partial 16S ribosomal RNA". It matches the Rfam family "Bacterial small subunit ribosomal RNA", at positions 509 to 807 of the family's 1533-position model. The record is from RNAcentral.
CAGUAGCCGCGGGAACACAGAGGCCUCAAGCGUUGUUCGGAUUCAUUGGGCGUAAAGGGUGCGUAGGCGGCCGGGUAAGUCGGAUGUGAAAUCCUGGGGCUCAACCUCAGAACUGCAUUCGAUACUGCUUGGCUAGAGGACUGGAGAGGAGAUCGGAAUUUACGGUGUAGCAGUGAAAUGCGUAGAUAUCGUGAGGAAGACCAGUGGCGAAGGCGGAUCUCUGGACAGUUCCUGACGCUGAUGCACGAAGGCUAGGGGAGCAAACGGGAUUAGAGACCCCCGUAGUCCCUGUCUCUUAUAC